Molecule: ribosomal RNA, 343 nt
Filed under: uncultured Pseudomonadota bacterium
Lineage: Bacteria; Pseudomonadati; Pseudomonadota
Description: bacterial SSU rRNA
Rfam family: Bacterial small subunit ribosomal RNA
Source: RNAcentral
UAACACGUUGGCACCUGCCUGUAAGACCGGGAUAACCUUCCGAAAGGAAAGCUAAUACCGGACUAAGCCUACGCGGGUCUUCGGACCUUGGAGGAAAAGGUGGCCUCUGUAUACAAGCUAUCACUUCUGGAUGAGCCCGCGGCCCAUCAGCUAGUUGGCGGGGUAAUGGCCCACCAAGGCAACGACGGGUAGCUGGUCUGAGAGGACGAUCAGCCACACUGGAACUGAGACACGGUCCAGACUCCUACGGGAGGCAGCAGUGGGGAAUUUUGCACAAAUGGGCGAAAGCCUGAUGCAGCAACGCCGCGUGUGUGAUGAAGGUCUUAGGAUUGUAAAGCACUUU